GAUGAACGCUGACAGAAUGCUUAACACAUGCAAGUCUACUUGAUCCUUCGGGUGAUGGUGGCGGACGGGUGAGUAACGCGUAAAGAACUUGCCCUGCAGUCUGGGACAACAUUUGGAAACGAAUGCUAAUACCGGAUAUUAUGUGAGUUUCGCAUGAAAUUCAUAUGAAAGCUAUAUGCGCUGCAGGAGAGCUUUGCGUCCUAUUAGCUAGUUGGUGAGGUAACGGCUCACCAAGGCGAUGAUAGGUAGCCGGCCUGAGAGGGUGAACGGCCACAAGGGGACUGAGACACGGCCCUUACUCCUACGGGAGGCAGCAGUGGGGAAUAUUGGACAAUGGACCAAAAGUCUGAUCCAGCAAUUCUGUGUGCACGAUGAAGUUUUUCGGAAUGUAAAGUGCUUUCAGUUGGGACGAAGUAAGUGACGGUACCAACAGAAGAAGCGACGGCUAAAUACGUGCCAGCAGCCGCGGUAAUACGUAUGUCGCAAGCGUUAUCCGGAUUUAUUGGGCGUAAAGCGCGUCUAGGCGGUUUGGUAAGUCUGAUGUGAAAAUGCGGGGCUCAACUCCGUAUUGCGUUGGAAACUGCUAAACUAGAGUACUGGAGAGGUAGGCGGAACUACAAGUGUAGAGGUGAAAUUCGUAGAUAUUUGUAGGAAUGCCGAUGGGGAAGCCAGCCUACUGGACAGAUACUGACGCUAAAGCGCGAAAGCGUGGGUAGCAAACAGG
This 724-nucleotide ribosomal RNA is filed under the name uncultured bacterium. Its description in RNAcentral is "bacterial SSU rRNA". It matches the Rfam family "Bacterial small subunit ribosomal RNA", at positions 28 to 776 of the family's 1533-position model. The record is from RNAcentral.